GGAUGACCGCUGGCGGCGUGCCUAAUACAUGCAAGUCGAGCGAACAGGCGAGGAGCUUGCUCCUCUGACGUUAGCGGCGGACGGGUGAGUAACACGUGGAUAACCUACCUAUAAGACUGGGAUAACUUCGGGAAACCGGGGCUAAUACCGGAUAAUAUAUUGAACCGCAUGGUUCAAUAGUGAAAGACGGUUUUGCUGUCACUUAUAGAUGGAUCCGCGCCGCAUUAGCUAGUUGGUAAGGUAACGGCUUACCAAGGCAACGAUGCGUAGCCGACCUGAGAGGGUGAUCGGCCACACUGGAACUGAGACACGGUCCAGACUCCUACGGGAGGCAGCAGUAGGGAAUCUUCCGCAAUGGGCGAAAGCCUGACGGAGCAACGCCGCGUGAGUGAUGAAGGUCUUCGGAUCGUAAAACUCUGUUAUUAGGGAAGAACAAAUGUGUAAGUAACUAUGCACGUCUUGACGGUACCUAAUCAGAAAGCCACGGCUAACUACGUG
RNAcentral lists this ribosomal RNA (498 nucleotides) under uncultured bacterium. RNAcentral describes it as "partial 16S ribosomal RNA". It matches the Rfam family "Bacterial small subunit ribosomal RNA", at positions 27 to 507 of the family's 1533-position model. The record is from RNAcentral.